CUGCACCCCUCACCCCUGCUGCUCCCCCACGAGGAGUGGGAACCCCUCAUCCAUGCCCACACAGGGGCCCUGCUGCUCCCCCACAAGGAGUGGGAAACUUGCAGUUUUCCGGGAGGGACUGUGCACCAACUCCAGCUUAGGCCUCCAGGGGCUCAGCCCCAGCUCUCCAAAGCUUCCAUCGCCAUGGAGACAGCAGGAUCAGCAGAGCAGGGGGAGCCCAUGAGGGCAUGGCUGUGUCCAGCCUGGAGCGAGGACAGGAAACCGAGGCACAGAGGCAGAGUCAGCUAUGUCAUCUGCAGGGUCCAUAGAAAAUGAAAACGUGUGGGCACAUGGUGGAGCGUCUGUCAUCCCAACACCUCGGAAGGCCGAGGUGAGAGGAUCACGAGGUCGGGAGUUCAAGACCAGCCUGGGCAACAUAGUGAAACCCCGUCUCUACUAAAAAUACAAAAAAAUAGCCAGGCAUGGUGGAGUGUCUGUAAUCCCAGCUACUGGGGAGGCUGAGGUGGGAGAAUCGCUUGAGCCUGGGGGUCGGAGGUUGCAGUGAGCCAAGAUCAAGCCAUUGCACUCCAGCCUGAGUGACACAGUGAGAUCCUGUCUCAAACAAACAAAACAAAACAAAAAAG
Molecule: long non-coding RNA, 623 nt
Filed under: Homo sapiens (human)
Lineage: Eukaryota; Metazoa; Chordata; Mammalia; Primates; Hominidae
Description: HSALNT0235409
Source: RNAcentral